UUCCUGAAGGACUAGUGGUUAGGCCUCGGUGUUCUAACUGCUGUGGCCCGGGUUCAAUUCCCGGCCAGGGAA
This 72-nucleotide transfer RNA is filed under the name Pangasianodon hypophthalmus (striped catfish). It matches the Rfam family "tRNA". From Rfam's summary of the family: Transfer RNA (tRNA) molecules are approximately 80 nucleotides in length. Lineage: Eukaryota; Metazoa; Chordata; Actinopteri; Siluriformes; Pangasiidae. The record is from Rfam by way of RNAcentral.